UGAACUUAAGCAUAUCAAUAAGCGGAGGAAAAGAAACUAACAAGGAUUCCCCUAGUAACUGCGAGUGAAGCGGGAAAAGCUCAAAUUUAAAAUCUGGCGGUCUUUGACUGUCCGAGUUGUAAUCUAGAGAAGUGUUAUCCGCGCUGGACCGUGUACAAGUCUCCUGGAAUGGAGCGUCAUAGAGGGUGAGAAUCCCGUCUUUGACACGGACUGCCAGGGCUUUGUGAUGCGCUCUCAAAGAGUCGAGUUGUUUGGGAAUGCAGCUCAAAAUGGGUGGUAAAUUCCAUCUAAAGCUAAAUAUUGGCGAGAGACCGAUAGCGAACAAGUACCGUGAGGGAAAGAUGAAAAGAACUUUGGAAAGAGAGUUAAACAGUACGUGAAAUUGCUGAAAGGGAAACGCUUGAAGUCAGUCGCGUUGUCUGGGAAUCAACCUUGCUUUUGCUGGGCGUACUUUCCAGAURACGGGCCAGCAUCAAUUUUGACCGUUGGAUAAAGGCUGGAGAAAUGUGGCAUCUUCGGAUGUGUUAUAGUCUUCAGUCGCAUACAACGGUUGGGAUUGAGGAACUCAGCACGCCGCAAGGCCGGGUACUUGUACCACGUUCGUGCUUA
This 609-nucleotide ribosomal RNA is filed under the name Pholiota fulviconica. Its description in RNAcentral is "partial large subunit ribosomal RNA". It matches the Rfam family "Eukaryotic large subunit ribosomal RNA", at positions 29 to 615 of the family's 3401-position model. The record is from RNAcentral. Lineage: Eukaryota; Fungi; Basidiomycota; Agaricomycetes; Agaricales; Strophariaceae.